This 440-nucleotide ribosomal RNA is filed under the name uncultured bacterium. Its description in RNAcentral is "bacterial SSU rRNA". It matches the Rfam family "Bacterial small subunit ribosomal RNA", at positions 338 to 795 of the family's 1533-position model. The record is from RNAcentral.
CCUACGGGUGGCAGCAGUGGGGAAUAUUGCACAAUGGGCGAAAGCCUGAUGCAGCGACGCCGCGUGAGCGAAGAAGGCCUUCGGGUCGUAAAGCUCUGUCCUAUGGGAAGAAAGAUGACGGUACCAUAGGAGGAAGCCCCGGCUAGCUACGUGCCAGCAGCCGCGGUAAUACGUAGGGGGCGAGCGUUGUCCGGAAUGACUGGGCGUAAAGGGUACGUAGGCGGCUAGAUAAGUCAGAUGUGAAAGGCAUAGGCUUAACCUGUGUAAGCAUUUGAAACUGUCUAGCUUGAGUCAAGGAGAGGAAAGUGGAAUUCCUGGUGUAGCGGUGAAAUGCGUAGAUAUUAGGAGGAACACCAGUGGCGAAGGCGACUCUCUGGUCUAUAACUGACGCUGAGGCGCGAAAGCGUGGGGAGCAAGCAGGAUUAGAUACCCCAGUAGUC